GAUGAACGCUGGCGGCGUGCCUAAUACAUGCAAGUCGAGCGAACGGACGAGAAGCUUGCUUCUCUGAUGUUAGCGGCGGACGGGCGAGUAACACGUGGAUAACCUACCUAUAAGACUGGGAUAACUUCGGGAAACCGGAGCUAAUACCGGAUAAUAUUUUGAACCGCAUGGUUCAAAAGUGAAAGACGGUCUUGCUGUCACUUAUAGAUGGAUCCGCGCUGCAUUAGCUAGUUGGUAAGGUAACGGCUUACCAAGGCAACGAUGCAUAGCCGACCUGAGAGGGUGAUCGGCCACACUGGAACUGAGACACGGUCCAGACUCCUACGGGAGGCAGCAGUAGGGAAUCUUCCGCAAUGGGCGAAAGCCUGACGGAGCAACGCCGCGUGAGUGAUGAAGGUCUUCGGAUCGUAAAACUCUGUUAUUAGGGAAGAACAUAUGUGUAAGUAACUGUGCACAUCUUGACGGUACCUAAUCAGAAAGCCACGGCUAACUACGUGCCAGCAGCCGCGGUAAUACGUAGGUGGCAAGCGUUAUCCGGAAUUAUUGGGCGUAAAGCGCGCGUAGGCGGUUUUUUAAGUCUGAUGUGAAAGCCCACGGCUCAACCGUGGAGGGUCAUUGGAAACUGGAAAACUUGAGUGCAGAAGAGGAAAGUGGAAUUCCAUGUGUAGCGGUGAAAUGCGCAGAGAUAUGGAGGAACACCAGUGGCGAAGGCGGCUUUCUGGUCUGUAACUGACGCUGAUGUGCGAAAGCGUGGGGAUCAAACAGGAUUAGAUACCCUGGUAGUCCACGCCGUAAACGAUGAGUGCUAAGUGUUAGGGGGUUUCCGCCCCUUAGUGCUGCAGCUAACGCAUUAAGCACUCCGCCUGGGGAGUACGACCGCAAGGUUGAAACUCAAAGGAAUUGACGGGGACCCGCACAAGCGGUGGAGCAUGUGGUUUAAUUCGAAGCAACGCGAAGAACCUUACCAAAUCUUGACAUCCUUUGACAACUCUAGAGAUAGAGCCUUCCCCUUCGGGGGGCAAAGUGACAGGUGGUGCAUGGUUGUCGUCAGCUCGUGUCGUGAGAUGUUGGGUUAAGUCCCGCAACGAGCGCAACCCUUAAGCUUAGUUGCCAUCAUUAAGUUGGGCACUCUAAGUUGACUGCCGGUGACAAACCGGAGGAAGGUGGGGAUGACGUCAAAUCAUCAUGCCCCUUAUGAUUUGGGCUACACACGUGCUACAAUGGACAAUACAAAGGGCAGCGAAACCGCGAGGUCAAGCAAAUCCCAUAAAGUUGUUCUCAGUUCGGAUUGUAGUCUGCAACUCGACUACAUGAAGCUGGAAUCGCUAGUAAUCGUAGAUCAGCAUGCUACGGUGAAUACGUUCCCGGGUCU
Molecule: ribosomal RNA, 1372 nt
Filed under: uncultured bacterium
Lineage: Bacteria
Description: bacterial SSU rRNA
Rfam family: Bacterial small subunit ribosomal RNA
Source: RNAcentral